UACAAUGGCGUAAACAGAGGGAAGCGAGCCCGCAGGGGGAGCAAAUCCCAAAAAUAACGUCCCAGUUCGGAUUGUAGCCUGCAACCCGGCUACAUGAAGCUGGAAUCGCUAGUAAUCGCAGAUCAGAAUGCUGCGGUGAAUACGUUCCCGGGUCUUGUACACACCGCCCGUCACACCAUGGGAGCCGGGAAUGCCCGAAGUCGGUGACCCAACCGUAAGGAGGGAGCCGCCGAAGGCAGGCCUGGUAACUGGGGUGAAGUCGUAACAAGGUAAC
RNAcentral lists this ribosomal RNA (274 nucleotides) under uncultured bacterium. RNAcentral's name for it is "partial 16S ribosomal RNA". It matches the Rfam family "Bacterial small subunit ribosomal RNA", at positions 1226 to 1500 of the family's 1533-position model. The record is from RNAcentral.